UCCCUGGUAGUUCAGUGGUUAGGACUCAGUGCUUUCACUGCUGUGACCCAGGUGCGAUCCCUGUUCAAAGAA
RNAcentral lists this transfer RNA (72 nucleotides) under Bos taurus (domestic cattle). It matches the Rfam family "tRNA". From Rfam's summary of the family: Transfer RNA (tRNA) molecules are approximately 80 nucleotides in length. Their secondary structure includes four short double-helical elements and three loops (D, anti-codon, and T loops). The record is from Rfam by way of RNAcentral. Lineage: Eukaryota; Metazoa; Chordata; Mammalia; Artiodactyla; Bovidae. RNAcentral also lists the same sequence under 5 other names.